Molecule: ribosomal RNA, 483 nt
Filed under: uncultured bacterium
Lineage: Bacteria
Description: partial 16S ribosomal RNA
Rfam family: Bacterial small subunit ribosomal RNA
Source: RNAcentral
UUGAACGCUGGCGGCAGGCCUAACACCUGCAAGUCGAGCGGAUGAAGGGAGCUUGCUCCUGGAUUCAGCGGCGGACGGGUGAGUAAUGCCUAGGAAUCUGCCUGGUAGUGGGGGAUAACGUCCGGAAACGGGCGCUAAUACCGCAUACGUCCUGAGGGAGAAAGUGGGGGAUCUUCGGACCUCACGCUAUCAGAUGAGCCUAGGUCGGAUUAGCUAGUUGGUGGGGUAAAGGCCUACCAAGGCGACGAUCCGUAACUGGUCUGAGAGGAUGAUCAGUCACACUGGAACGGAGACACGGUCCAGACUCCUACGGGAGGCAGCAGUGGGGAAUAUUGGACAAUGGGCGAAAGCCUGAUCCAGCCAUGCCGCGUGUGUGAAGAAGGUCUUCGGAUUGUAAAGCACUUUAAGUGGGGAGGAAGGGCAGUAAGUUAAUACCUUGCUGUUUUGACGGUACCAACAGAAUAAGCACCGGCUAACUUCGUG